AUUGAACGCUGGCGGCAUGCCUUACACAUGCAAGUCGAACGGCAGCACGGGAGCAAUCCUGGUGGCGAGUGGCGAACGGGUGAGUAAUAUAUCGGAACGUGCCCAGUCGUGGGGAUAACGUAGCGAAAGCUACGCUAAUACCGCAUACGAUCUAUGGAUGAAAGCGGGGGAUCGCAAGACCUCGCGCGAUUGGAGCGGCCGAUAUCAGAUUAGGUAGUUGGUGAGGUAAAGGCUCACCAAGCCGACGAUCUGUAGCUGGUCUGAGAGGACGACCAGCCACACUGGGACUGAGACACGGCCCAGACUCCUACGGGAGGCAGCAGUGGGGAAUUUUGGACAAUGGGCGCAAGCCUGAUCCAGCAAUGCCGCGUGCAGGAUGAAGGCCUCGGUUGUAACUGCUUUGUUACGGUACGAAACGGUGAGCUCUAAUACAG
Molecule: ribosomal RNA, 434 nt
Filed under: uncultured bacterium
Lineage: Bacteria
Description: bacterial SSU rRNA
Rfam family: Bacterial small subunit ribosomal RNA
Source: RNAcentral